GGGGAUGCAUGUUACCGAGGCUGGCGAGGGAGUUUUGCAAACUCCUUGUGGUGAGUUCGAUUCUCACCGUCUCCA
This 75-nucleotide transfer RNA is filed under the name Cyanobacteria bacterium SZAS-4. Its description in RNAcentral is "tRNA-OTHER". The record is from RNAcentral. Lineage: Bacteria; Bacillati; Cyanobacteriota.